CAGCCGCCGCGGUAAUACCGGCGGCCCGAGUGGCGGUCACUAUUAUUGGGCUUAAAGCGUCCGUAGCCGGGUUGGGAAGUCCUCCGGGAAAUCUGGCCGCUUAACGGUCAGAAUGCCGGAGGAUACUCCCAGCCUAGGGAGCGGGAGAGGCCGAGGGUAUUCCCGGAGUAGGGGUGAAAUCCUAUAAUCCCGGGAGGACCACCUGUGGCGAACGCGCUCGGCUGGAACGCGUCCGACGGUGAGGGACGAAGGCCAGGGGAGCAAACCGGAUUAGAUACCCGGGUAGUCCUGGCGGUAAACGAUGCGGACUUUGUGUCGGACAAGCUAUGAGCUUGUCCGGUGCCGGAGGGAAACCGUUAAGUCCGCCGCCUGGGGAGUACGGCCGCAAGGUUGAAACUUAAAGGAAUUGGCGGG
Molecule: ribosomal RNA, 414 nt
Filed under: uncultured microorganism
Description: bacterial SSU rRNA
Rfam family: Archaeal small subunit ribosomal RNA
Source: RNAcentral